UUGGAGGGCAAGUCUGGUGCCAGCAGCCGCGGUAAUUCCAGCUCCAAUAGCGUAUAUUAAAGUUGUUGCAGUUAAAAAGCUCGUAGUUGAAUUUCGGGGUCAAUAAGUUGGUCGUGCCAAUGGUAUGCACUGGCUUUAUUGAUUCCUACCUCUUGACGAACUGUGAUGCCAUUAAUUUGGUGUCGCAAGGAAUCAGGACUGUUACUUUGAAAAAAUUAGAGUGUUUAAAGCAGGCAUACGCUUGAAUACAUUAGCAUGGAAUAAUGAAAUAGGACGUUUGAUUCUAUUUUGUUGGUUUCUAGGAUCGACGUAAUGAUUAAUAGGGAUAGUUGGGGGCAUUAGUAUUCAAUUGUCAGAGGUGAAAUUCUUGGAGUUAUUGAAGACUAACUACUGCGAAAGCAUUCGCCAAGGAUGUUUUCAUUAAUCAGUGAACGAAAGUUAGGGGAUCGAAGACGAUCAGAUACCGUCGUAGUCUUAACCACAAACUAUGCCGACUAGGGAUCGGGCGGUGUUAGUAUUUUGACCCGUUCGGCACCUUACGGGAAAC
RNAcentral lists this ribosomal RNA (547 nucleotides) under uncultured Glomus. Its description in RNAcentral is "SSU rRNA". It matches the Rfam family "Eukaryotic small subunit ribosomal RNA", at positions 548 to 1098 of the family's 1831-position model. The record is from RNAcentral. Lineage: Eukaryota; Fungi; Glomeromycota; Glomeromycetes; Glomerales; Glomeraceae.